UACGUAGGGGCCGAGCGUUGUCCGGAAUUAUUGGGCGUAAAGAGCUCGUAGGCGGUUUGUCGCGUCGACUGUGAAAACCCGAGGCUUAACCUCGGGCCUGCAGUCGAUACGGGCAGACUAGAGUUCGGUAGGGGAGACUGGAAUUCCUGGUGUAGCGGUGAAAUGCGCAGAUAUCGGGAGGAACACCAGUAGCGAAGGCGGCUCGCUGGGCCAUUCCUGACGCUGAGACGCGAAAGCUAGGGGAGCGAACAGG
Molecule: ribosomal RNA, 253 nt
Filed under: uncultured bacterium
Lineage: Bacteria
Description: partial 16S ribosomal RNA
Rfam family: Bacterial small subunit ribosomal RNA
Source: RNAcentral